Molecule: small nuclear RNA, 101 nt
Organism: Bison bison bison
Lineage: Eukaryota; Metazoa; Chordata; Mammalia; Artiodactyla; Bovidae
Source: Ensembl
GUGGUUGCCUUGGCAGCACAUAUACUAAAAUUGGAACUAUAGAAGAUUAGCAUGGCUUCUGCACAAGGAUGACACAUAUUUGUGAAGCAUUUCAGAAUUUU